Molecule: long non-coding RNA, 412 nt
Organism: Malaclemys terrapin pileata
Lineage: Eukaryota; Metazoa; Chordata; Testudines; Emydidae
Exons: 3
Source: RefSeq, a predicted model, not a curated record
CCAUGGACAGCACAACUGAACACAGUAUUCCAGCAUCAUCACACCCUUGGCAAAUACAGAGGAAAAAUAAUGUCUCUACUCCUACUUGAAAUUCCCAUUUAUGCAUCCAAGGACUGAAUUAGCCUUUAGACCAUCAUGUUGCACUGGAAGCUUGUGUUCAACUGAUUAUCCAUCAUGACUCCCAAAUCUUUUUCAGAGUCACUGUUUCCCAGGAUAGAGUCCCCCAUUCUGAGUACCCACAACAUCCACACCUUUUGGGCAGACAGUCCUCCUCCUCAAGAAUUUACAAGCUAAUUCUACAAGCACUCAUGUCAGCAACUUUAUUCAUGUUUCCCCUCUCGGCACCGUAGACUUCAGGCCAAAGAUCAGGAUGCAAGUUACCGUUGAAGUCAUCUUUCAGAACAGAAGGCAG